GUACUUACCUGGGAGGGGAGCUGCCAUGAUUGAGGGUGGUUUUCCUGGGGCGAGGCUUGUCUGUUGCCCUCUGGAUGUACCAACCCUUACGAUUUCCCCAAAUGUAGGAGACUUAACUGCAUAAUUUGUGGUAGUAAGAGACUGUGUUUGUCCUCUCCCCUG
Ochotona curzoniae (black-lipped pika) is the source of this 162-nucleotide small nuclear RNA. RefSeq annotates it as U1 spliceosomal RNA. NCBI's taxonomy places the organism in Eukaryota, Metazoa, Chordata, Mammalia, Lagomorpha, Ochotonidae. The record is from RefSeq and is a predicted model, not a curated record. The transcript has a single exon.